GUGGGGAAUUUUGGACAAUGGGCGAAAGCCUGAUCCAGCCAUGCCGCGUGCAGGAUGAAGGCCUUCGGGUUGUAAACUGCUUUUGUACGGAACGAAAAGACUCUGGUUAAUACCUGGGGUCCAUGACGGUACCGUAAGAAUAAGCACCGGCUAACUACGUGCCAGCAGCCGCGGUAAUACGUAGGGUGCAAGCGUUAAUCGGAAUUACUGGGCGUAAAGCGUGCGCAGGCGGUUAUAUAAGACAGAUGUGAAAUCCCCGGGCUCAACCUGGGAACUGCAGUUGUGACUGUAUAGCUAGAGUACAGCAGAGGGGGAUGGAAUUCCGCGUGUAGCAGUGAAAUGCGUAGAUAUGCGGAGGAACACCGAUGGCGAAGGCAAUCCCCUGGGCCUGCACUGACGCUCAUGCACGAAAGCGUGGGGAGCAAACAGGAUUAGAAACCCUGGUAGUCC
RNAcentral lists this ribosomal RNA (450 nucleotides) under uncultured bacterium. RNAcentral's name for it is "bacterial SSU rRNA". It matches the Rfam family "Bacterial small subunit ribosomal RNA", at positions 354 to 796 of the family's 1533-position model. The record is from RNAcentral.